RNAcentral lists this ribosomal RNA (1017 nucleotides) under Triticum aestivum (bread wheat). RNAcentral's name for it is "partial small subunit ribosomal RNA". The record is from RNAcentral. Lineage: Eukaryota; Viridiplantae; Streptophyta; Magnoliopsida; Poales; Poaceae.
AUGGCCGCCUCCCGCAAGCGUGCCUUCGCCUCCGUCGUUUUCACGGCGAUCGCUUCCUGCGCAGCAGCGCAGACGCCGGGAGGCCCGGGAUCGGACAGUUCAAUGAGUUUCUCCGACGUGAUGGCCAUCUCCUUCUUCAUGGCCAUUUUCUUCCCCGUCUUCGUCGUCCUCCUCGCGUUUGCCUGCCUCCGCCUGUACCGGCCGCCAGACGACCCCCCGGCCGCCGAGAACUCUUCGGCGGAGUGGGCGCACUCGCACCACAAGGAGGGCCUGGACGCCGCCGAGAUCGCGGCGCUGCCGCUAGUGUCCUACCGUGACGUCAAGCAGCACCGGAUCAGCGACGGCCGUGUCGACCCGCUGGAGUGCGCGGUUUGCCUCCUGGAGUUCGACGACGACGACAGCCUGCGCCUCCUCCCGACGUGCCCGCACGCGUUCCACCCGCAGUGCAUCGGCCUCUGGCUCGAGAAGCACGUCACGUGCCCGCUCUGCCGCGCCAGCGUCCUCGACCCGCCGCCGCCUCGAGUGCCAGAUCAGGAGCUGGAAACGCCGGUGCCACCCGGCUCGCCGCCUGUUCACGAUCACCAUACGGUGGUGCUAAUCGAAGACGACCCCGGCCGCGGCGAGGAGGAGGAAGACAGGACCAGGAUCCUCGCGAGGACGCGGCGCGAGGCCGGGCGCGAGGCGCUGCCGCGGUCCAACUCGACGGGGCACGAGCGCGCCGGCGGGAUGGAGCGCUUCCGGCUGCGGCUGCCGGAGCACGUUCGCCUCGAGAUCCUGAUGUCGCACAGGCUGAGGCACGUGACGAGCGCGGUCGCGUCCGUGCGCGUGAGGGAGGGGAGCGCCCACGACCCAGCUGCCGGCGGGAAUUCUGUGCGGAGCGCCGUGGCGAGGCUCUUCUCACUUUUCGCGCCCGGGGAUGGGUGGAGCGGCGACGUCGAGGACAAGUCCGGGGGCUCGUCUCGCUGGCGGCGCGAUGACUCUGCGCGGGGAGCAGGAGAAGACAAGAGAAACGAUUGA